GACGUAGGUGGCAAGCGUUGUUCGGAAUCACUGGGCAUAAAGCGCACGUAGGCGGCUGAGUAAGUCAGGCGUGAAAUCCCCCGGCUCAACCGGGGAACUGCGCUUGAUACUGCUCGGCUUGAGGUCCGGAGGGGAGAGUGGAAUUCCCGGUGUAGCGGUGAAAUGCGUAGAUAUUGGGAAGAACACCGGUGGCGAAAGCGCUCUGCUGGGCCUGCACUGACACUGAGGGACGAAAGCUAGGGGAGCGAAAGGG
Molecule: ribosomal RNA, 253 nt
Filed under: uncultured bacterium
Lineage: Bacteria
Description: partial 16S ribosomal RNA
Rfam family: Bacterial small subunit ribosomal RNA
Source: RNAcentral